This is a long non-coding RNA of Oncorhynchus keta (chum salmon), 863 nucleotides long. RefSeq lists it as uncharacterized. The transcript is spliced from 3 exons. NCBI's taxonomy places the organism in Eukaryota, Metazoa, Chordata, Actinopteri, Salmoniformes, Salmonidae. The record is from RefSeq and is a predicted model, not a curated record.
GAGGUAGCGCUGAAACACUUCCUGUCUCUCAAGAGAGGAAAGCACCUCCUCUGUCCUCUCUCCUCUGUCCUCUGAGGAGAGAGGACCCGAGGAGAGAGGACCUGAGGAGUAUGUAAUUGAGAUCUUGUUACAGGCUGAGAUCAUCCCAAAAAAGUCAUCCUUUAUGAUGCAAAGCCAAGCUCGCGUCCUGGACGCCCCCCAAAGAGGGCUCAGAGUAUGACAUCAUCAGAGAACCAACACCUUCUGUCUCAUUCUGUCAGCGGGCUGAUGUCAGCUGGAAUCAUGCCCCCUACUGGUCUGACAGCGGCUGCUCUUGCUGAGGCCAUGAAGACCAAAAAGAUCAAGUUGGAGGUGAUGGGGGGUUACCAUAGUAACCACCACCAGCAUCAUCAUCACCACGGGACAGACGGAGAGAACGGAGGAGAUCACCACAACUCCUCCAGUCUGGGUGAGUCCAUAUUAAUCCCUGUUAUUACGUUAUCAUUACAGUCAAUGGACCAGCAUCAGUUUCAUUACAAUGCUGGCCCUCUAGGCUUUGAGUUAGAGACACUAUACACAGUACCAGUCAACCACUAUACACAGUACCAGUCAAACACUAUACACAGUACCAGUCAACCACUAUACACAGUACCAGUCAACCACUAUACACAGUACCAGUCAACCACUAUACACAGUACCAGUCAAACACUAUACACAGUACCAGUCAACCACUAUACACAGUACCAGUCAAACACUAUACACAGUACCAGUCAAACACUAUACACAGUACCAGUCAAACACUAUACACAGUACCAGUCAAACACUAUACACAGUACCAGUCAAACACUAUACACAGUACCAGUCAAACACUAUACACAGUACCA